This 1063-nucleotide long non-coding RNA is filed under the name Vitis vinifera (wine grape). RNAcentral's name for it is "long non-coding RNA (VVIN_LNC000359)". Lineage: Eukaryota; Viridiplantae; Streptophyta; Magnoliopsida; Vitales; Vitaceae. The record is from RNAcentral.
AUACACUUAGCUUACACUCGGCCAAUUCCUUUGUUGACUGUUGCAGAAUUAGGUACCUCACUAAACACGAUGGGACUUCUCUCGUACACUUCUUGACUUAUUCCAUGGUAAUCUUCCUUCUCAAUGGAAGGGUCCAGAACGCCCAUAAAUUAACACAUCAUUGACAUAUGGGUGAUAAUUACGGUUCAUUUAAAGCCACCUCAUCAUAAAUUUUCAAUAAAUUACCAUAUUGGUGUAUUGUUUAAUGAUUGACAGCAAUAAUGAUACCUUAAUUUGAGAUGAAUAUUGAUUGGGAAUUGAUGUGAUGCACAUCAAACUCAAAUUAAACCCACAGCUACAAUGAAGUUGCACAGUGACCUAGAAAAGCCAAGAGCUGGAGCUGCUGUUGGAGAAUGGAGAUGGCUAUGGAUGAAUGACUACAUACAUACACAUUGAACCAUCCAUAGGGCAUAACCAACCCACCCUCGUGAAUUGAAUCAUUCCUGAUUCCUAUAAGCCUGUUAUGGUGAAUGCUGAAUGAAGAAACAGAGGUCACCCAUUAUUAAUUAAUGAAAUAUGAUCAGGGUUUUCAACAGGUAUCAUCAGCUUCUACUUUUUCUCCACUAACAUUGAACUGGGCUCUCUGGAGCUAACCCCUCUGGUCUGUCAUUCUUUGUUAAAAGGGGUGGAAGGAUAUGCCCACUGAUAGAUAAUCAUCCCUUUAAACAAGGGUUUAAUCAGUUAAAAAAAAAUUGCAGAUUAAACAGAUAGAGAGGUUGAUAUUACAAACAUGUUUCAGUUCUCAAAGGGAGAGCUGAAAGGGAGAGAGAGAGGUUUAAUCAGUUAAAGAAAAAAACUGCAGAUUAAACAGAUAGAGAGGUUGAUAUUACAAACAUGUUUCAGUUCUCAAAGGGAGAGAGAGAGCCGGGAAAAGGAAAGGGAGAAACAAAGAGAAUCAACUCUGAUGUACAUAGAGAAGUGAACAAUGAAAUAAACGAGAGGGGAUCAAGCAGCAGGGGCCCUAAUGAAGCGGAGAGAGGAGGGGGAAGCGAAGGGGAGACUGCGGAGGAUAAGAAAACGAAUU